Molecule: ribosomal RNA, 460 nt
Filed under: uncultured bacterium
Lineage: Bacteria
Description: partial 16S ribosomal RNA
Rfam family: Bacterial small subunit ribosomal RNA
Source: RNAcentral
CCUACGGGUGGCAGCAGUGAGGAAUAUUGGUCAAUGGUCGCGACACUGAACCAGCCAAGCAGCGUGAGGGAUGAAGGUACAGAGUAUCGUAAACCGCUUUUGUCAGGGGACAAAGACUGGGACGCGUCCCCGGAUGAGUGUACCUGAAGAAAAAGCAUCGGCUAACUCCGUGCCAGCAGCCGCGGUAAUACGGAGGGUGCGAGCGUUAUCCGGAUUUAUUGGGUUUAAAGGGUGCGCAGGCGGCCCCUUAAGCGAGCUGUGAAAGGCCGCGGCUCAACCGCGGCCCUGCAGCGCGACCUGGGGGUCUUGAGUGGGCCGGAGGUAGGCGGAAUGCGUGGUGUAGCGGUGAAAUGCUUAGAUAUCACGAAGAACUCCGAUUGCGAAGGCAGCCUACCGUAGCGUUACUGACGCUGAGGCACGAAAGCGUGGGUAUCGAACAGGAUUAGAUACCCGAGUAGUC